GAUGAAGAACGUAGCGAAAUGCGAUACUUGGUGUGAAUUGCAGAAUCCCGUGAACCAUCGAGUUUUUGAACGCAAGUUGCGCCCGAAGCCAUUCGGCCGAGGGCACGUCUGCCUGGGUGUCACGCAUCGUUGCCCCCCCAAACUCCGGUUCGGGCGGGGCGGAAGUUGGCCUCCCGUGCGUGCCUGCGCGCGCGGUUAGCCCAAAAGCGAGUCCUCGGCGACGAGCGCCACGACAAUCGGUGGUUUUUUUACCCUCGUUCCUCGUCGUGCGUGUCCCGUCGCCCGAACGCGCUCUUGUGACCCUCACGCGUCGCCUCGGCGGCGCUCCCAACGCGACCCCAGGUCAGGCGGGACUACCCGCUGAGUUUAAGCAUAUCAAUAAGCGGAGGA
Molecule: unclassified non-coding RNA, 390 nt
Filed under: soil metagenome
Description: partial contains 5.8S ribosomal RNA, internal transcribed spacer 2, and large subunit ribosomal RNA
Rfam family: 5.8S ribosomal RNA (bases 1-122)
Source: RNAcentral